RNAcentral lists this long non-coding RNA (361 nucleotides) under Panicum hallii. RNAcentral describes it as "long non-coding RNA (PHAL_LNC000242)". Lineage: Eukaryota; Viridiplantae; Streptophyta; Magnoliopsida; Poales; Poaceae. The record is from RNAcentral.
CUGGUAUAGCACAAGUAUAUUAAGCAAAUAAAUAAACAAGCUUGCUCCACUCAGCACUUGAUGGCAAAUAUAUGCAGAAGAGUUACUCUCUCACAAACUAAAAGGUGAGCUAAUAUGGCACAUGUCAAUAAUCUACCCGCGCGUGCAUUUUAUGUUUCAAGCCUAACCAACCACCAGAGUGUCCUAUUGCACAAACAAAUGGGACAUGCAGUAGUCUGAGCGUCCAACCCACCCACACCAACCCCAAACAUCAGAACCUGACUAACAAAUAAUCUCCAGUUAAGUCUCUGGCCUCCUUGAUUCUAAGGAAAAGCGGCAGCUAGCCUCAUGGCCUGUGCUUCAGCGCAUUCGGAGUAGCCCC